UCAGAGCAGUAGUGCAUAGUGUAUGGAUACUACCCGCCCCCGAGCCUAGCAAAUUGCCUGGUGAGCGGCCAUCCUGGAUAAAUGGUGAAUGAUGACAUCCCAGUGGUCACUUCCACACACCACAGGCUUCUCCGAAAUUGGAGUUCCAGAAGCCAUCCUUGGAUAACAUCUCUAUAAUCUCCUGGGAGAAUCCUUCUUCGAAGAAAUCCUCCAUCAGAGGAGAGUUCUUGGUCUCAGUCACAUCUGAAAGAGCAAGUGCAAAUGUCUCCUGUUCACUAAGGGUGAGAACACAGACAAGAGCAAGUAGGGGUGAUAGAUCUUGAGUCCAGCCUAUCCAUCAAGGGACCCAAAGGGGUGACCCACGUGGAACUGGCAUCACAGAAAACAGACAGAGCCCAUUCCCAGGAGGGUCAAGAAGGGAGUUGGGAAACCAUAGGGUUCAACGAGGAGGGAGAUUCUACCAUUACCUUCACACCUAAGUGACUGAUCAAGUUCCCUAAAAAGUCGCCUGGACUCACCUGCUUCUACUCUCCACUCUAUCCUGUACUGUCACCAAAAUCUUCCUCCUCAUAUCCUGCAUCCUCUAUCCCAGACAACACCCCGCUCUCCCCACACCACCACCCAUCCAGUUCUCCAUGCUAGAAUCCUGGGAGUCAACCUCCUCCCUACCUCCCUCAACUUGGCACUAUUUUCAUUUGGUCUCUAUCGAAAUGUCUCAACUCCCUUCCUCUCCUCUCUUUAUCACUGACUCAGCAUCUGAUCCCAGGCUGCUCAUUGGUCUCCUGUUUCUGUCUGUCUCUCUCUCUCUCUAGUCUUCCAUACUAGCCCUAAAGGGCUUUGUAGUUAAUGGAUCUGACUAUAUCACUCCUCUGAUUAAACCCUUCCAUGGCUUCCUGCCUGGAGAAAAGAAAUGAGUGUAUUAGCCCAGUGUUCUUUGUGCUGACCUCAUAGAACUCUUGCGGUUCCCUAAAUCCACCAGACUUUCUCCUCUGUGCCUUUAAUGGUCCCUCAUGCUGGAUGGCACUUCCUGGACUAACUCCUCUAAAUCUUUUAAUACCCAGCUUCAGUAUCACCCUUCUCUGAAAGGCUUCCCUGACAACCCCAUCCCCAUUCUGCUUUAAGUCCCCUGCCCUGUAUUCUCUGAAAACCAGCUGAGCACUUACCAUCCUCUACCAUAACAGGUUAUGAAAGGGUCUGACCCCUGACCCUUACCAGAAGGUAAGCUCUUUAAUGGGGACCUUCCACUGCUCAUCCAUCCACUGCCACAGAGGCGGCCACGAGAAAGAUUCACAGGACAGAGUAAUUCCCAUUCAUGGUAUGCUUGUUCACAGGCAGGAGUGCCUCAGGCACUCUGUUACACUCGACAACCUCCUGUAAGAUAUCCAGCUCACUCUCCUCACCACACUUGUGCUCAUGUUGCUCCCUCUGCCUCAAAUGCACCAACAGACAUGUAAUAGGCACCCCUUAUGUGCCAAGCAUGAUGUCAGGAGCUGGGAAUACAGGGUGAAUCAGCUAAGCCCUGCUUCCAAGAGCGGCAUGCCGUUAAAGGGGAAAGACGCUUAUGUGGUAACUAUGCAACUCAAGUGUCACUACUAGAGGAUAUGGAGGUAUAUUUGUUAGUAAAGGCAUGGCUACCUAUGCUUGGAAACAGCCAAUAUGCUGAGGUGACAGAAACAGAAAGCAGAAGUUGUGAGAGCCUGUGCAUGAGUUAGUCACCUAUGAGGAACACUGAUGUGCUGAAGAGGAGGCUGCAGAGGCCUCAUGUACACAAGCCUGAGUGUGGUGAGCCAAGAAGGGAGCUGCAGACUGACUGGGUGGGGUACAGCCUGAGACUCCUGUGGUCUCUGGUUCAGGGCCCUGCUUCUCAUGCUGGGGACGUCUCUACCAUGGGUAAUACCCCAGGAAUCCUCACCACCUAACCUGAUCCACCUGGAGGAACCCCGGCUUGGGAGAUGGCAGGGCAGAUGCUCUUGGCAGCAUUCAGGCCUGGGCUUAAGUUACUCCCUGAUGUGGCCAUCUGCUAUGCCCCAGGGAUAGGAAGGAAAAAUGGGCCUGAAGGAAAGGAGGUAAAAGAAGUAGAAUGAUGGUCAACACAUUCAGGGAGCUCAAGGCAGGAAAGUAGAGAGGCCAACUGAGAGAGUGGAGGGCGUACCCUUGUUGAGUCUGGAAGGAAAGAGGGGCAGCUGUGGAGAGGCACCAGGAUAACCCUGUGCCGAAGGGCAAGGUAGAGAGACACCAGAGUGAGGGUGUAUAAAAAUGUCCUGAUCCCCCCAGCUCCCAGGACAAGGGGAUGGAAGCCAGCGAGCAGCAGAGUGAAGUCCUGAAGCUGAGCGUUGUAAUGUCUUGGUAGACCUGUGGGAAAGCUGGCUGCAGCCUCAGGAUGGAGGUCUGGAAGACAGAAGGUACACAAGGGGCCCCUCUCCAUCCACUCACCAGGGCC
Gorilla gorilla gorilla (western lowland gorilla) is the source of this 2440-nucleotide long non-coding RNA. RefSeq lists it as uncharacterized. The record is from RefSeq and is a predicted model, not a curated record. The transcript is spliced from 3 exons. NCBI's taxonomy places the organism in Eukaryota, Metazoa, Chordata, Mammalia, Primates, Hominidae.